GAUACGGUCAGCUAAAUUAAGCUCCCGGGCCCAUACCCCGGAUAUGAUGGUUAAAAUCCCUCCCUUAUCA
This 70-nucleotide transfer RNA is filed under the name Amblypharyngodon chulabhornae. Its description in RNAcentral is "tRNA-Met". It matches the Rfam family "tRNA". From Rfam's summary of the family: Transfer RNA (tRNA) molecules are approximately 80 nucleotides in length. Their secondary structure includes four short double-helical elements and three loops (D, anti-codon, and T loops). Further hydrogen bonds mediate the characteristic L-shaped molecular structure. tRNAs have two regions of fundamental functional importance: the anti-codon, which is responsible for specific mRNA codon recognition, and the 3' end, to which the tRNAs corresponding amino acid is attached (by aminoacyl-tRNA synthetases). tRNAs cope with the degeneracy of the genetic code in two manners: having more than one tRNA (with a specific anti-codon) for a particular amino acid; and 'wobble' base-pairing, i.e. permitting non-standard base-pairing at the 3rd anti-codon position. Lineage: Eukaryota; Metazoa; Chordata; Actinopteri; Cypriniformes; Danionidae. The record is from RNAcentral.